AUUGAACGCUGGCGGCAUGCCUUACACAUGCAAGUCGAACGGUAACAGGUCUUCGGAUGCUGACGAGUGGCGAACGGGUGAGUAAUACAUCGGAACGUGCCCGAUCGUGGGGGAUAACGAGGCGAAAGCUUUGCUAAUACCGCAUACGAUCUACGGAUUAAAGCGGGGGAUCUUCGGACCUCGCGCGGACGGUGCGGCCGAUGGCAGAUUAGGUAGUUGGUGGGAUAAAAGCUUACCAAGCCGACGAUCUGUAGCUGGUCUGAGAGGAUGAUCAGCCACACUGGGACUGAGACACGGCCCAGACUCCUACGGGAGGCAGCAGUGGGGAAUUUUGGACAAUGGGCGAAAGCCUGAUCCAGCCAUGCCGCGUGCAGGAUGAAGGCCUUUGGGUUGUAAACUGCUUUUGUACGGAACGAAAAGCCUCUUUCUAAUAAAGAGGGGUCAUGACGGUACCGUAAGAAUAAGCACCGGCUAACUACGUG
Molecule: ribosomal RNA, 482 nt
Filed under: uncultured bacterium
Lineage: Bacteria
Description: partial 16S ribosomal RNA
Rfam family: Bacterial small subunit ribosomal RNA
Source: RNAcentral